This is a non-coding RNA of Danio rerio (zebrafish), 1429 nucleotides long. Lineage: Eukaryota; Metazoa; Chordata; Actinopteri; Cypriniformes; Danionidae. The record is from RefSeq and is a predicted model, not a curated record.
AUGUUUUAGUUAAAUCGGUCUUACACUUUAUAUUUUCAGAACUAGCGUAAUUACGAGUAAAGAAAUGCUAUCAAACUAAAUUUCUAGUGCUUUUGUCUUGGCGUGGCAGUUAAAGAGUUAAUUAUAUUUAACACGUAAAGGUGAUGCAAAGUCAUCUGGUUUAAACAGUGAUUUAACAUCGGAGUACAGGAGAACAGUUUCCCUGACGCGGAGGGAUUCCCUCUUGCCCUCCUCCCCUUGCUUUCCUCACAAGAGGCCACAGCGUGUCUCUGCUGCCCUGUCAUCGUCAUCUGGUGACAGGGGCUCCGAUAGAUAGACGCAGUCUGUUCAGCUACAAAUCUGCAGCGCAAGUAAUGUCAGGACCGCGGCACAGUAUGAGGAGGAUUAUGACCGAUCUGACUUUGCCAUCAGCGCGUUUGGGACCCACACGGUGAGCAAUAUCAACACUGUCCUGAAGAGCAUCUGGAACGACCUUUCCUAAUAUGCCGAGAGACACAUUUCGCACAUCUUCUCCAUGUUUUCGCGAACAUCGUGUAGCUUUAGACAGCAGCUCCACCUGUAGCGCUUACAGUCUUGUAGACUUGCGUUCAGCGAGAUGUUUCCACAUGAUGAAGAGCCUCUCUGCGCUCACCGACAUCCAGAAGAAGCUGUUGCACCGUCGCUGACAAACUUUUCAUUUGCCUGGAGGCCGUUUCUGGACAACCUCGUUGUUAAAGUUCAAACAAUAGUCAAAUCAUCGUGAUUCCGAAUCACAUUGUAAAUUCAGUGCAGAGCUACAGGCCGAUGCAGAGUCCUUCAAUUAAUCAGCCGUGUUGGACGCGUCAAAAACAAUCAUGCCAGUCCUUCCGUGAUUACCUUCCCUCUUUUCCCCCAUGCAGAGAUGUCAAAAGAGUUGUAUAAGGUUCACGCAGGUUUUUAUAAUGUCAUCGCCAGCCUUAAACAGUAGGUUAAGAGACCACUUCAUCUUUUAUACCCUGAAGAAUAAACGCGAAUACCUCUACCUACAUGGCCCCCAUCUUUGGUCUCGUCCUACGCUACGUCAUGAAUAGAACGCGUUCUGCGCCGCGAGUGUCAGAAUCCACCUGACGCAUCACAGAGCAGACGUGUAUUGAGAAGCUCCGCAUUUCAUACUCAAACAAGGCGAAAAAUCCUAAAUUAACUGCAGUAAACUUAUUUAUACACCCUAGAGAGCGUUAUUUACUGAAAAUAAAUGGAACAAAGUAUGUCUAAUGUUCCAGGUCCUUCGGGACAAAGAAGACAGCCGUCUACACUGGGAAUAGGUCCAUCUCCUGGUUCUGUGCAAGAAAAGUAUGACCUGAAGGAACUUGUGGGAAAGGGCCAUCACGGCGAGAUCUAUCGUGCUAUUAGAAAAGCCGACGGACAACAGUUUGCCAUCAAGUCAACUACUACAGAACUUGACAACGAAGUG